UUUCUGCCCUAUCAACUUUCG
Molecule: non-coding RNA, 21 nt
Filed under: Arabidopsis thaliana (thale cress)
Lineage: Eukaryota; Viridiplantae; Streptophyta; Magnoliopsida; Brassicales; Brassicaceae
Source: RNAcentral